Potamilus streckersoni is the source of this 66-nucleotide non-coding RNA. The record is from the annotation of a GenBank genome assembly. Lineage: Eukaryota; Metazoa; Mollusca; Bivalvia; Unionida; Unionidae.
GUAGCUUAGUGGUUAGAGUGUCCACCUCGGAUGCGGAGGGUCGCCGCUUCUAAACCGGCCGAGUCA